RNAcentral lists this ribosomal RNA (467 nucleotides) under uncultured bacterium. RNAcentral describes it as "partial 16S ribosomal RNA". It matches the Rfam family "Bacterial small subunit ribosomal RNA", at positions 28 to 523 of the family's 1533-position model. The record is from RNAcentral.
GACGAACGCUGGCGGCGUGCUUAACACAUGCAAGUCGAGCGGGAAACUUCGGUUUCCAGCGGCGGACGGGUGAGUAACACGUGGGCAACCUGCCUUACACUGCGGGAUAGCCCUCCGAAAGGAGGAUUAAUACCUCAUAACACAAGAGAAACGCAUGUUUUUCUUGUCAAAGAAUUUCGUUGUGAGAUGGGCCCGCGGCGCAUUAGCAUGUUGGUGAGGUAACGGCUCACCAAGGCUUCGAUGCGUAGCCGACCUGAGAGGGUGAUCGGCCACAUUGGAACUGAGACACGGUCCAGACUCCUACGGGAGGCAGCAGUGGGGAAUAUUGCACAAUGGAGGAAACUCUGAUGCAGCAACGCCGCGUGAGUGAUGAAGGUCUUCGGAUUGUAAAGCUCUGUCUUCUGGGACGAUAAUGACGGUACCAGAGGAGGAAGCCACGGCUAACUACGUGCCAGCAGCCGCCGUAA